UUUUGUUUAAUUGAUUUCUUUUUUAACUCUAAAGUUUCAAUGUUUGACAAUUUAAGUCUAAAGUUUUGAUCAUUGGUAUUUUAACCCCCUUUGAUUAAUUCGAUUUUUCAUUUCUAAUUCAAAAGUUUUCAUCUUUUGCGGAUUUUUCACUUCUAAUUCAAAAGUUUUCAUAUUUUGCAAUUUAACCCCUUUAAUUUUUUUCACCUUCAAUCCAAAGCUUUUUAUCGUUUGCAAUUUAAUCUCAACAUUUUUUUUUACUUUUAACUGUCUCUUACAUAUUUUUCAUCUUUCAUAAGUUCUCCGUUUAACGUGUCGUUCUAAAUUUCCGACUUAACACGCCGCAACGUGCGUGUGGGGUUCAACGUUUUUCAUCUAUUUUUUUUCCUGUUUGACAUGUCCGUCGCAACGCGUCUAUUUUUCCCCGUUUUAUAGGUCUAUCACAACGUGCGAGUCAGAGAUCGAUUUAGUUAUUUUUUCCUGGGUUUUACACACAGUUUCAAUGUUUGGCAAUUUAAGUCUAAAACUCGUGGUCAUGUGAGAAACAUUUGUCUUUCAUCUAACAUGAU
RNAcentral lists this long non-coding RNA (566 nucleotides) under Helianthus annuus (common sunflower). RNAcentral's name for it is "hypothetical non coding rna". Lineage: Eukaryota; Viridiplantae; Streptophyta; Magnoliopsida; Asterales; Asteraceae. The record is from RNAcentral.